Molecule: long non-coding RNA, 91 nt
Organism: Notothenia coriiceps (black rockcod)
Lineage: Eukaryota; Metazoa; Chordata; Actinopteri; Perciformes; Nototheniidae
Exons: 3
Source: RefSeq, a predicted model, not a curated record
CUUACCACAGUAGGCGAACUUCAGCGAGAGGACGCAGCUCUCGUGCAGGUGCAGCUGGUACUUGUCGGGCUUGGAGACAUGCAGGGCUUCU